Molecule: non-coding RNA, 110 nt
Filed under: human gut metagenome
Source: RNAcentral
UGCUAGGGGAGCUUUUGCUGAGAUUUACCGAAAGCAUUUUGCGAAAAGAUUCGCAUUUUCGGAUAAACCCUCAUAACCUGAUCCGGUCAGUACCGGCGUAGGGAAGCGUA